This 220-nucleotide long non-coding RNA is filed under the name Elaeis guineensis (African oil palm). Its description in RNAcentral is "long non-coding RNA (EGUI_LNC071352)". The record is from RNAcentral. Lineage: Eukaryota; Viridiplantae; Streptophyta; Magnoliopsida; Arecales; Arecaceae.
CUAGCCAUUCAGAAUCCUGAGGUGUAUGUUGGCUGUAGCAUAUUCAUUGUAGGAACUAGAUUGCACCAAGAUGGGAUCUAUCAACCUCGGUAGAUGAGAGGAGUAGUCCUAUGAUGAUCGAAAGAUUGAGUCCUUAAGCCCAUGGCCAUGGCAGAGUGAAAUAAUGGAAAAAAGUUUUCCAUUGGGGUUUCACAUCGGACUCGGAUCGAUCGAUUGAUUC